RNAcentral lists this microRNA precursor (80 nucleotides) under Strigamia maritima. RNAcentral's name for it is "microRNA mir-263". The record is from RNAcentral. Lineage: Eukaryota; Metazoa; Arthropoda; Chilopoda; Geophilomorpha; Linotaeniidae.
UUUGAAUCUUAUAAAGUUGCCACCAGAAGGCGCGAUUUGCUAAAAUCGCGCCUUCUGGUGGCAACUUUAUAAGUUACUAU